RNAcentral lists this ribosomal RNA (460 nucleotides) under uncultured bacterium. RNAcentral's name for it is "partial 16S ribosomal RNA". It matches the Rfam family "Bacterial small subunit ribosomal RNA", at positions 338 to 795 of the family's 1533-position model. The record is from RNAcentral.
CCUACGGGAGGCAGCAGUGAGGAAUAUUGGUCAAUGGGCGCGAGCCUGAACCAGCCAAGUAGCGUGAAGGAUGACUGCCCUACGGGUUGUAAACUUCUUUUAUAAAGGAAUAAAGUGAGGCACGUGUGCCUUUUUGUCUGUACUUUAUGAAUAAGGAUAGGCUAACUCCGUGCCAGCAGCCGCGGUAAUACGGUGGAUCCGAGCGUUAUCCGGAUUUAUUGGGUUUAAAGGGCGCGUAGAUGGGUUGUUAAGUCAGUUGUGAAAGUUUGCGGCUCAACCGUAAAAUUGCAAUUGAUACUGACAGACUUGAGUACAGUUGAGGUAGGCGGAAUUCGUGGUGUAGCGGUGAAAUGCUUAGAUAGCACGAAGAACUCCGAUUGCGAAGGCAGCUUACUAAACUGCCACUGACAUUGAUGCUCGAAAGUGUGGGUAUCAAACAGGAUUAGAUACCCGUGUAGUC